AACGAACGCUGGCGGCGUGCCUAACACAUGCAAGUCGUGCGAGAAAGUUUCCUUCGGGGAGCUAGUAAAGCGGCGCACGGGUGAGUAACACGUAGGUAAUCUACCUCUAAGUCCGGAAUAACCAGCUGAAAGGCUGGCUAAUGCCGGAUAAGACCACGGCCUCUGCGGGGGCCGCGGCCAAAGGUGGCCUCUUCAUGAAAGCUAUUGCUGAGAGAUGAGCCUGCGUACCAUUAGCUAGUUGGUGAGGUAACGGCUCACCAAGGCUGUGAUGGUUAGCUGGUCUGAGAGGAUGACCAGCCACACUGGGACUGAGACACGGCCCAGACUCCUACGGGUGGCAG
RNAcentral lists this ribosomal RNA (341 nucleotides) under uncultured Pseudomonadota bacterium. RNAcentral's name for it is "bacterial SSU rRNA". It matches the Rfam family "Bacterial small subunit ribosomal RNA", at positions 29 to 351 of the family's 1533-position model. Lineage: Bacteria; Pseudomonadati; Pseudomonadota. The record is from RNAcentral.